Molecule: unclassified non-coding RNA, 342 nt
Filed under: soil metagenome
Description: partial contains 5.8S ribosomal RNA, internal transcribed spacer 2, and large subunit ribosomal RNA
Rfam family: 5.8S ribosomal RNA (bases 1-121)
Source: RNAcentral
GAUGAAGAACGUAGCGAAAUGCGAUAAGUAAUGCGAAUUGCAGAAUUUCCGUGAGUCAUCGAAUCUUUGAACGCACAUUGCGCCCAUUGGUAUUCCGAUGGGCAUGCCUGUUCGAGCGUCAUUUGUACCCUCAAGCUUUGCUUGGUGUUGGGCGUCUUGUCUCUAGCUUUGCUGGAGACUCGCCUUAAAGUAAUUGGCAGCCGGCCUACUGGUUUCGGAGCGCAGCACAAGUCGCACUCUCUAUCAGCAAAGGUCUAGCAUCCAUUAAGCCUUUUUUUCAACUUUUGACCUCGGAUCAGGUAGGGAUACCCGCUGAACUUAAGCAUAUCAAUAAGCGGAGGA